RNAcentral lists this ribosomal RNA (981 nucleotides) under Triticum aestivum (bread wheat). Its description in RNAcentral is "partial small subunit ribosomal RNA". Lineage: Eukaryota; Viridiplantae; Streptophyta; Magnoliopsida; Poales; Poaceae. The record is from RNAcentral.
AUGCCGCCGCCGUCGAUGGUGCUGCAGCUCCCACGGCUGGGCCGAUUCGCCGGAGUAACGGCGGCACCUGCAUUCCAAGACGGAGCCCGCAACUUGAAUUCCCAUGGGUGCCACAGCAGCCGGCGCUCCUCCUCGUCCAGCAGCAGAAGCAGCAGCUGGUUCUCCUCCAACGCCGAGAAUCCCGGCCCCGACACCAGAGACGAUAACAGGACUAGUAGUAGGAGGUGGUGGUCCGAUGACCAAUUCGACGUGGAGGAGGAGGAGGAGGAGGAAUUCGGGAGCGAGGGCUCGUUUGGUUCUGCAAGGGAGAUGUUCGACGAGCCAUGGUUUACCAAGGUGUUCAGGGUGUACGGGUAUGUGCUCCCGGUGCUGCUGGCGUCCAUGCUGGUGACAACGGGGCCACAGGCUUUCCUCAUGGCCAUGGCCAUCCCGCUCGCCCAGUCCGUUCUCUCUUUCGCCAUUUCCAAGAUUGGUUCAUUUGGCCGGCGCCGCCGUGACGAAGAAGAAUAUGACGACGAUGGUUACUAUUAUUCCGAUUACGGCAGCGGCGGCUGGGAAGCUGAAGAACAGUAUAGCAGCAACUCCUCGACAUACAGAGGAGACAGCAGCACUAGUAGCAGCAGGUACCAGCAGCAGCAACAGGAGGAAUCUGCAGAUUCAGAUCCAACGGUAGAAUCAGGUGAUAUUGACGGUACCACCGGCGCCGCAGCUAGAAGUGAAAGUGGUAAUAUCGGUUUUGGAGGAUGGGACGAGCUGGAAGAAGGCGACGACCGCCGCAGCAGCAGCAGGUGGCGUGCACGAGCGUCGCCGGCGGAUACUGCUACCGCUGGUGGUGCAGUGAGAACGAGUAGACCACCUGCAACUAGAAGGAGAAGAAGCAGAGGAGCUGCGGCUGCAAGGUACAGGCAGGCGCCCCUGCCGAUGCGCUUGCUCGUCGCGCUCUUCCCAUUCCUGGGUUCAUGGUUCAGAAUUUUGCUCUAA